Lynx canadensis (Canada lynx) is the source of this 713-nucleotide long non-coding RNA. RefSeq lists it as uncharacterized. Lineage: Eukaryota; Metazoa; Chordata; Mammalia; Carnivora; Felidae. The transcript has 2 exons. The record is from RefSeq and is a predicted model, not a curated record.
CUGAUCUGCUUUCUUCUCUUUGUACCAGGCUACGGAGCACCGUAUGGUUACAGCACCGCUGCCCCUGCCUAUGGUUUACCCAAGAGAAUGGUUCUGUUACCCGUUAUGAAAUUCCCAACAUAUCCUGUUCCCCACUACUCAUUCUUUUAGCAAAUGACAGAAGCUAAUUCCUAUUGAACAACAAAUACAGUACAAUACAGAAUGUUAGAGAAAAAGCCUUUUUAUCCUGCUUUCUUUGAACACAUACUUGAUCAAAAUUAUUUGUAAAGAACAUCUUUCCUACUUUUUGAUUUUAACAAAUGCAAAUUUAGUUCUCUAAAACUUGAAAACAAAAAAGAAACUAGUUCUGUGAAACGGUACCUCAUUUCCGGAAAAUAACUUAUACCAGCCCUUCUGUUCUAGGGAAAUAAGUCUAGCAGUUCAAAGUUUAAGUUUUAAGAGGAGUAUCAGAUUAUGUAAAAUUAAAUUUGUGAAGGAUGUAUAGAGUCUCAAACACUGAUCACAAAUAAACUGCUUUGUUGUAACACAGAGUACUGCCUGGUUCCUGACGCAGUCACUGAUUCUUAGCUCUGAUUGAUAUGUAUUUGCCCCAGGGCACUUGAAUUUGGGCUGUAGUUAUUUUUUUAAUACAGUACAAUAGAGACUUUUCAUUUAAACUUUAACUUUGUAAAUACUGAAGUGUGUAAUUAAAGCCAAUAAAAUAUGGGUUUGAA